UACAGAGGUGGCAAGCGUUGUUCGGAAUUACUGGGCGUAAAGGGCGCGUAGGCGGUCUCUUAAGUUUCGUGUGAAAUCCCUCGGCUCAACUGGGGAACUGCACGGGAAACUGGAAGGCUUGAGUUCGGGAGAGGGAAGCGGAAUUCCGGGUGUAGCGGUGAAGUGCGUAGAUAUCCGGAGGAACACCGGUGGCGAAGGCGGCUUCCUGGACCGACACUGACGCUGAGGCGCGAAAGCUAGGGGAGCAAACGGG
RNAcentral lists this ribosomal RNA (253 nucleotides) under uncultured bacterium. Its description in RNAcentral is "partial 16S ribosomal RNA". It matches the Rfam family "Bacterial small subunit ribosomal RNA", at positions 524 to 776 of the family's 1533-position model. The record is from RNAcentral.